This is a long non-coding RNA of Cephus cinctus (wheat stem sawfly), 4626 nucleotides long. RefSeq lists it as uncharacterized. Lineage: Eukaryota; Metazoa; Arthropoda; Insecta; Hymenoptera; Cephidae. The record is from RefSeq and is a predicted model, not a curated record. The transcript is spliced from 3 exons.
CUUUUCGUUUCUCUUCCUCCUUCUCUCUAGGAUGUACUGCGAUCUCAGGCGGCAUGCAUUUUUUAUGCGUUUUUUAUAAUGCUCCUUUUUUUAGACGACCAAAGGGAGCUGUACGAGACUGUAUUGUUCGUUUCGUUUGGUCGGAAGAGCGAGGUAAAUGGGCCUUCGUACUGGGAGACCAAAGUAGGCACCAGAGAACGAGGGUAGAACGAAGGAGAGUGGACAGGCUCUUUGGGUUACUUUAAGCGAUAGCAGUUUUUCUACAGUUAAUCGAGUUUAAAUAAAUAAUCGAACCUAUCGAACGAACAAAGUGGCCCUAAACACACGAGUCCAGGAGAAUCUUAAUAUAGUUUUACAAAAAGUACAAUUACAUACUUUUAUAUAAUCUUAUACGCUAAGAAUCAAUCGCGUGGUCGAGCAUACGGAGAAAUACGAGAGAAACGUAUCGAAGGCUUGAGACUUUUCAAUAUUUAUCGCACUUAUCAUUCCAUUAUCUCGCGUUAAAGGGCACGUCGUUAGACUUUUAUUAUAUUUACGAACGUCUCGUCUUCCUUUGAUUCCGAACGAUAAUGAUCUCCUUGUUUCACGUCCAUAACUAAAACUGUUUUAUCAUCACGAGAGAUUACAAAUAAUUUUUCAGCAUCCUUCUCACAUAUAACGAUCAGCCAUAAAUCGAGAAUAAGGAUCUGGCGCUACUUAGAAGUCCAUUUCGCAAAAAGCAAGUAGUAGCAGAUAACGAGGAACGCAUGUACUUUUUGCAUGUCAACGAGGCCAGAAAAUUUCCACGGAAGCGGUAUUAAGUAUUCAUCCUAAUUGAUCCUUUGCACCAAUACGCCGUGACCGUCCCCCACUUCCUCGUCCAAUCGCCCGAGAUCAAGCACGUUUAAUGGGGACGAUGAAAGUGUCACCAAAACUGAAUGAGAUAUGUCAUCCUGCGACAGGAAUAUAUGAAUCGCGCCUGUGGCAGAAAUAAAAUGAAAAUUAUUCGCAGGACCCAAAGAUGGAGGAAGCUGUAGAGAAGCUGGUCGACGUGGACAGGCAGACAGACCGGAGGUCAGACAAAAUCGGCUGGUUGGCCAGAAGGGAUAGAAUUAAGAUAAAGGAGGGACGGAGGGGGUAGAGAGAGAAGGAGAUCAAGGGAGGGUAAGCCUCCUUCUCCUCCUCCUCCUCGGCUCCUGAAAGAAGGACGAGGACGAAGAUGAAAAAGAAGAGGAAGCAAGAGAGGGCUUUGGACUGUCGAGAGAGUGCCACCCCAAAGGGCAAUGUACUUGGUUCGUGGCUAUCUUAGCGACUGCCUACGCUCCGACUAAGCUCUAGAAGGAGUACCAUAGUAGAAGAGGGAAAAGAAGCAAGCAGGCAGAGGGCACGGGUGUACCUAGGAAGAAAAGGAAGCCCGGUGGACAUAGACUAAUUGAAAAAUUGCAUGCAAGUCCUCUCGGGCGUACGCGAUCCAGGGGUGUCGAAAACUUGGGUAGCCCUGAAUGGCGGAAUAGGAGUCGAGUCGGUGUUGCACUCCACUCUGAAACAACCAGUUCCGCCACUGUGAAGAGUCUUCGUGCAUCUCCGGCGCACGUCGGGGCUUAUAUUGAUCACGAGAGUGCACGAUAUUCGAGAAUAUAUUAUGCGGACUCUAGCCGCGCGAAAUAUAAUAGUCCAGAGUAUAGCGGAAGGCCAGGCCGCUGCACUCAGUCCUGGCUGCUGCUGCUGCCGCGGGAGGCUGCCGUUGCCUUUCUCGUUGCCAUUGCCAUUGCCGUUUCUCCGCUUCCUUUUCGCUAUCCCUCUACGUUAUGUGCCUAACGCACUGCGCUUUACUCAUAUAUAGUUAUGUCUAUGCUCUAACCUAGCUUAUUCUAUCUAUAUCCUUACACACUGUCGACAUUGUCCUAGGGUAUCUGUAUACUUCCGUUCUAUCGUUACUUUGCCUUAUCCCAUUUAUACGUCGAGCUCUUUCCGCAUCGACGUCAUCCUACUUCCUCGAAGCCUUUUCCACCACGUUUUGGAAAUCGCCCACCUCUCUCACACGGUAUAACGUGCAAGCCCAGGGUAGGGGCAAUUCGCGUUUACCGGUGCGCUGCCAAUUUCAUAAUCGUUUCCGUAUCUACAGAGCGAAUUCGAGGCAAUUUUCAUUUUACCUUUAUAUCCCAAAAGUUCUCGACUUUCGCCUUAAACUCGUUAAACGAACCGUUCACCCUCCCUUUUACCGACCGAGUGUCGUCUGGCGCGACGUUCUUGUCUUCUCGAGGACGUUAAUUAAAAAAUUGUCGAGCGGCAAACAUUCGUAGGUAAAUGGACCUUCGGUCAAAAGGCACGCGCAUAGACUAUCAGGUGUUAAAGCUGCCUUUACUUUAGUAUUCGUUUGAUCUGUCCAGGUUGGUCUUGAUAAAGUUUCCAAAGACAGUCGACCGUCUCCCUAAUCAAUUUUGAUAUCUGACUAUAUGGCUAAAAUACUAAUUAGAAUUUAAAAACGGGUAUUCAAAACCACGGAAAAUUCAAUUUCGCGUCAGCCUUCGAUAUCCAAGUCAUCUAACCUAACCUAACGUGGAAAGAGACUCGAACGCCGAUAUAGAUAAGGCAAUCGAUCACGCUGAAAGGACAAACGAGAAGCGUUUGAUAUUGACAAUAGAAAUUUAUCUCCUUCUGUAAGCCUAUCGAAUGCAAAACUCGUCUUACAGUUUUUUGCCAAAGAAUUCGAUUGUGGAUAAUCGCUUUUAUGGAAUCAUAGAAAAUACGACGAACCAGGCUUAUACCUACUACAAGAGACUAUGAUGUGUACAGGAGGAAACUAGUGACUAGCAAAAAAAAAUAUUGAAAAAAAAAUAGCAGUCCGUUUCGUCCAAUUAGGUUAAUUGAUCCUCGGCACUCGAAAAGCAAUCUUCCGGAAAUGCAGUUUUCAAUUUCCCAGCAACACUCGAUACGAGGGACAUUCGAGAUUCAAUCUAUUUAAUUGACUUUAUGCGAUCAUCGCAAUGAUAAUGAGAUAUCUGGAAUCAUAGGAGACCGCAAAUCUAUUAAUACGAAACAAGAGAAAUUCGAGGUUUCGAAUAUAUAUGCAAAAAAAAAAUACGAGUCCGGCCACAGUCUUAUUCAUAACAAAAAUUUCUGAUAUCUCCAACAUACUCGAGUACCGUGAAAAGAUGCAUGCUGGGACGUAGUAGCCACGAUGGUGGAUUCUCAAAAAGUACCAAGACGAAUAUUCUCAGGAGUCGAAGCAUUAAUCCAGAAGCUUCGUCGUGGCAUCCCUCGACAGUCUCCCCACCCUUUGACUUGUCGGAGGCGGAGGAAUGGGGAUCGGGAAUCCAUGGUAGGGGCAAGAGAGGACCUUGGCCUUUUCGCGAAGUAAAAAUAAAACCUGUUGACACCGGAGCGCUACGAUGCAAGGGAGUCUCUCCGCAAUUAAAGGCCCAACUUUGGUAUAUUAUGUACGAUUGGUCAUACGCACCGUGUAGAGGUGAAACUUCCUUUGAAAAAAAAAAAUUUCCCUCAGAUACCCCCUCAAUUAUUCCCUACGAUGACACAAGAAAUAAUUAUUUGCACUUGGUUCAAUGCCUCACGGAGCCACGUAAAUUUUCCGUGCACGAUCUUUGAAAGACAAUUAUACGUUAUCGUACGACUAUAAUAAUGAUAAAAAAAAUAAUAAUUCAAAUCUCGAUAAUUACGUCAUACCUAAAUUAACCCAUCCCUAGCGAACUGUCAACCGUCAAGCGAUUCUAUACUGUUACCAAUCCCGACAGUAUCUCUACCCAGGGAUACACUGGCUCCAGGUACGAUAGUUGAGCACACUGAAAGGUACAUAGACUGUAGUAGACAGGGUUGAAGCUGUCAGGUCAUAUGGAGUGCGCUCGGAGAAUACCACUACGCAUGUAUCGACGUAGCUCCCCAGGUAUAACGCCCGGGCUCGGAAAGUAUAUGUAGCGGCGCCGAGCUACUCCGGUAGACUAGACGGAGCAGAGACGGAAAGCGGCCUCCUGCAACCUCAACCUCAACCUCUCUGCUUACCUACACCUUGUUUCGCGUCACUCCAGCCCCGAGAAAAUCCAAGAUCAGCCAUGGUAGUAAUCCUGGACACGAUCCAGUCAUCCGGGAAUCGAGCGUCGGCUGACAGACUAUCGGCUACGUCUCUACGAUCUUAUUGCCAGCCGAAGACGGCUGGGCGUGCAGUAAGGUUACAAAGAGUCUAGGUUACGCGGCAUUGUCCCUGGAAUAAGGUAUAUGGGACCACUGAAGUACGGUUGUAUAUCUGCCGGAUGGGAUCGUUUGAAAAUACUUUUCUUGCUGUGAAACGUACCGUCGGCCAUUUUGUCGACGUGACGCCCUUUCCUACAUCUACUUCACGAUUGGUGUACAUCUUUGGGAAAAAGAAAUUCCGAGCGCCCAUUAUCGAAGCGGAAAAUGGUUCCCCCUUUAGCGCGAUUGAAAGUCAUCAAGAAGAAUCGUAUGGGGUGAAAAAUUCCUAUGUCCGUAGUCUAAUGUAUUACGUGAGAAAUGACACCGAAAAUGGAUUAUAGUAUGGAGAAAAAAAAUUAGAGCAAUAAUAUAUCAAAUACCAAUUAAAAAAAUUGUAUGAUUAUAAAUUAACGUGUUACCAACCGGGAAUCAAGGAUUCAAGUAAACAAAUUACGAAACCAA